AGAAUAUUAAGAUAAGAAUUCUAUUAGCUUUCAAGGUUAAGAGUGGUUGUAUAA
Molecule: transfer RNA, 54 nt
Filed under: Argyroneta aquatica (water spider)
Lineage: Eukaryota; Metazoa; Arthropoda; Arachnida; Araneae; Dictynidae
Description: tRNA-Trp
Source: RNAcentral